This is a long non-coding RNA of Photinus pyralis (common eastern firefly), 552 nucleotides long. RefSeq lists it as uncharacterized. The record is from RefSeq and is a predicted model, not a curated record. The transcript has 3 exons. Lineage: Eukaryota; Metazoa; Arthropoda; Insecta; Coleoptera; Lampyridae.
CAAUUUGCCUACAUUAUUUCUCUCCGUUCCAACUGUAAUAUUGGGGGCAUGGUGUGGGUGUGAUACAUUUUAGAAAAGUUUUAAAAAAGCAAUCAAAAACUUCGACAAGCGCCCAGAGAAUAAUUAUGUUCCGGCUAAUGAUGUUUGUGCUGCUCGCACUUUUUGUGCUGUUCAAACAAGAUCGGCACAGUAUUCAACAUUGUAUUGAAAAACGUCAAUGCGAGCAAAGGAGCACCGAUUUUGUACAAGAUUGUUAUCAGUAUUGCUAUUCGAAUUUACGCUAAUGAAAACCACAUCGUGCAGGUUCAAGAGGGUUAUUCAUCGGUGGCUGAAGAUUUCACAGCAUGCAUAAAUGGGAAGAAAUGCUACCUAAAAGUGGAGCGAGCGGAUGUGAAGGCGUGUUUCGAUGAAUGCCUCGCAUUGUAUCCGUGAUUUUACGUAUAUUAAAAGAGAGUGAUAAUAUUAAGUUGUAUUUAAUGAUAAUACCAGAUUUUGCCGUGUAGCUUAUUGAUCUUCACGCAGAACGUGUUAAAAUGCGGCAAAGGGUUCCUA